Mesocricetus auratus (golden hamster) is the source of this 1584-nucleotide long non-coding RNA. RefSeq lists it as uncharacterized. NCBI's taxonomy places the organism in Eukaryota, Metazoa, Chordata, Mammalia, Rodentia, Cricetidae. The transcript has 3 exons. The record is from RefSeq and is a predicted model, not a curated record.
UCACAAGCAGAUACCUGGAAGGAGUAGGACCAGACUUUCAAGCCAGUCUCCAUACUGCCAGACUGUGGCCCUUAACCACAUGUGAUUUGCUUCAUAAUUACACAAGGCUUCAUUCCUGGGUCUCACUCCUGGAGAAGGUCAUUACAGCAUGCAAAUCAAUCAGAAUGGGAUGACAAGAAGAUGACAUAAUUGUUUUUCAAUGGAAUUUGAGGCAAAUGAGACAGCUAGCUGUAAUACUGAACCGAGAAUGGAAUUGAUCUAGGACACAGAAGCGUGGUUAUUAAUGAUUUAAAGAAUCAGAGCAACUAAUACAUUAUGCCUGUGCAUGUGAAACAGAAAGGUAUUCUGGGAGGCAGGGCAAAGACAAGACAUUUAUAACACUAAUUGAGAAUGAGCCCCUGGAGAACUUUCACUGCCAAUAAUCAAGGAUGAAGUAUGAACCCGCCUACCUUUGACUCCCGGGGCAAACUACAAAUCAAACAGUAGGAUCUUCUUCUGAAGGAUAAUUCUCUCUGGGGAAAAGGAUUCUAUGGAUGAAGAGGCUCGACACUCAGGCCAGUGACUUGAUUGGCACUGACUCAACCUACAUAUUGUUUUUGAUGGUUUCCAGGAAGAUCAAAAAAGUAGACGACUUGGGGGACAAUCUGGAUUCUCUAAACACAAAAUUGAAGGUAUUUAGGAAGUGGCCGAUUUCCUUCCCAAUAACUUGUCUAUUUAAGUUCCCCUUAUUUUUAGAUGAGUCGGGGUGGGUGUACUCCUGAGUCACCUACGGCAAAGAGAAGGGGCUUUUAGGAGUGUCUUCCGGCCAACUUGAGGAUGGGAGAUGAGAAUACAAGGAAGUGAUCUUUGACUCAGCUUGCCCAGGGCUUGGGUGUUGUGGCAUUCCCCACAAGUGACGCACUCCCAAGCGGGGUGACCUCAUAUAUCACGGGAUUUAUUCCCACCGCUGACUCCACCCCAUAUCCUCCUCAGCUUCUCAUCCUCUCACUUACCAGUUCCGCCUCCCUUUCAAGAUCAGAGUGGGGGUAGGGUGGCUGCAGCCUAGAAAUGCCUUUCGUGGGCGGGGAGCGGAGACAACCCGGGUUUGGAAAAAUGCAAGAAGUGGCACUCACUUUCCCUUCUCCAGAUGUUUCGCAUUUCUGGUUAAGGCUAUCCCUACUCCUCUAAUCCCAAACAGUACGAUCUUACUCGAGGCAGUCUCAUCCUUUAGACAGUCCUUCUCUUAGUUACCCCUCUUUCUCUUUUUGCCAUUUUUCUGAGUCCGGAAUUCUCAGUAGGAAGUGGUUGGAGUCUCGGCUCUCUUUCCUGCUCUAGCUGUGUGACCUUGACUAACCCACAACUUCCCUGGGCCUAGUUUCUUUGUCUGUGAAACAGGCCAAACGUCUGGCGCACCACGAAGGCGCUGUGUAAGCUGUAGAAAGGUGAAGACGCUAGCUAUCUCGCUAGGAAAGAGCUGUCACCCUUCAGAGCCCCUCCCUCUCCUCGGGGAGCGCCGAGCAAACCCAGCCUCCCUCCCGCUGUCACUUCCUCCACCUCCCGCCUCUCGGCCCGCGCGGCGCUGGCUGUUAGCGUCACAGCCGUCGC